This 253-nucleotide ribosomal RNA is filed under the name uncultured bacterium. Its description in RNAcentral is "partial 16S ribosomal RNA". It matches the Rfam family "Bacterial small subunit ribosomal RNA", at positions 524 to 777 of the family's 1533-position model. The record is from RNAcentral.
UACGAAGGGGCUAGCGUUGCUCGGAAUCACUGGGCGUAAAGGGUGCGUAGGCGGGUCUUUAAGUCAGGGGUGAAAUCCUGGAGCUCAACUCCAGAACUGCCUUUGAUACUGAAGAUCUUGAGUUCGGGAGAGGUGAGUGGAACUGCGAGUGUAGAGGUGAAAUUCGUAGAUAUUCGCAAGAACACCAGUGGCGAAGGCGGCUCACUGGCCCGAUACUGACGCUGAGGCACGAAAAGCGUGGGAGCAAACAGGG